UGACAUAGCAUUUCUUCUUUAUUUACUGUGAUUUUUUUUUUAUAUAGCAUUACAGAUAGUCAAAGACCUCACUCCGACUUUCAAAGAACUAGCACUAGCAGUAGAAGACAUUUUUGCUAGUUUCCAAGAGCGUAAAUGUCCUAAUCAGAAAGGUUCCAAUUGUG
Molecule: long non-coding RNA, 164 nt
Organism: Xenopus laevis (African clawed frog)
Lineage: Eukaryota; Metazoa; Chordata; Amphibia; Anura; Pipidae
Exons: 3
Source: RefSeq, a predicted model, not a curated record